Molecule: long non-coding RNA, 3027 nt
Organism: Crotalus tigris (Tiger rattlesnake)
Lineage: Eukaryota; Metazoa; Chordata; Lepidosauria; Squamata; Viperidae
Exons: 2
Source: RefSeq, a predicted model, not a curated record
GUCAACACGCGCCCCUCCUGCGAGUGAAACCCGGAGGGAGCCCUCCCAGCUCGGGGCAGGGCGAGUGGAUCCCCUCUUCUUCCUCGUUCUCCUCCUCCUCCUCCUCCUCCUCUGCCUCCCUCUGCCUCUUCCUCUCCUCCUCCUCCUCCUCCCCUGCUUUCCUCCUCUGCCUCUCGGCCCGGCAGCCGCGUUCCUGCACCAGCCGCGGGGAGAUCGCACCAAGCCUGCGGGCGGCAGCCGGCCGGCCGAGACUCUCUCUGCGCGCCCCGCUUGGCCGCGGCUCUGCUGCCUGCUGCUCCUGCUCCCGCGGCCGGGCAGCGCCACCUGGACCCGCGCAGGAAGCUGUGCCUGUUGGAUGGGGCCAGCCUGGGUCUACGUGAAAGCGUACACAAGACUUUUUCAAGUGCUACUGUCCAGCUACACCAGUGUUUCAGUCCAGAACCUGGCUUCACCAUUCCAUACUGAAGGCUGCAUCUGACUCUGUUUGGACCACUCAAGCUGUGACAGACGUCUUGGGUCUACGGUUGCUGUUUAAUAGAACGAAAUGGCUGGACAGAAGUUUGUAUUAUGUUUUUCUUUUCAGGACAUUGUGUGUUGUGGAGGACUUUCUCUCUGAACUGUGCUAUUUGAGAGAACCUUGGACUGACACCUGAAACCUUAGGAACCGUGAACAAUCCAGAAAGUACCCUCUACGAAUUAAAUUAAAGAAGUCACAGCUAAUGCUAGAAUCUUGACAUUUUUGGCUAAGUUGGGGUUUCUUAAUUGCACUUGGAAUUCUAAUUCUCUACUGUUUUAGGAAAGAAAUACCUUGUGUGUUUGGAAGAAAGAAGAGCCAUCGGUUCAUGAUGUGUGUCUUUUGUGAUUGUAAUUGCAUCACUGAUUGUUGUUGCUGUUAUCACUGUGUUAACUGUUGGCCUUAUCAUAGUUAAUAUUCCUUGCUUAGAGAAAGAUGGGGAUAUUACUGUUGCUAUUGUGUGGCCUACUUCUCAAUCCAAUCCUGACACUUCCAACGGAUUCCAAAACGUGAUGUAAAUGCAACUCAAAAGUUAAAGGUAAGAUACCAAUUUCUCGAGUUUUCAGUCAACAAUUAGUUAAUAGUUGGAGGAAACAGUGGCCUCCUCAGAGUAUAUAUUAAUAUAUACUGCUACUCAGGGCUUUUUUUCUCAUAGAACGCUCAGAACGGAGUUCCGGCACCUUUUGGAUGGAACCUUGUAGGGUAGGCAAGGCGGGUUGUAUGACGUGUGUGAGUUCCGGCACUUUUUUUUUUUUUUUAGAAAAAAAGCACUCCUGCUAUUAGAUUGCAUCCAUAGCAUGAAGUGAUUAUUGCUACCAGCAGUAAAUUGAAGCAGCAGGUUAAGGUCUGCAUUUGGAUGAAGGGUAGAGAUCACAAUAAAUUAAAAAUGCUUUGCAAGCCACUCCUGUUCCUUCUGCCAUACCUGCUACUGAUGUUAUAGAGGAAACUUAACCACUGGAGACGGCUGGUGUGGAAAUACUGUAGUCAAUGUCACCAUGACUCCAGACACCUUUAAUAAGAUUAAUGUUCAAAGUGUCACCAGAAGUUUGUUUCAAUCAUCCUAGAAUAAAUCUUUGUAUGAGGCUUAUCUGAAUUUGACUAGAGAUGAUCUGCAACGUCAGUGGUUCCAUGCUUUGGAGGUUGUGAACAAUGCCAGGAUGCAGGAUCAGAAAGGCACAACGGUGUUGCUAAUACCUAGUGCUGGAAAUAACAUUCAUUAUUGUUGUGAAAACAAAUGUUUCCAAUAUAUGAACACGAGAAUUGGAUGGUGUUACCUUGCUAAGUUGAUGCCGGUAAUGGAGGUGCAGGAUGAGACACGUGUAUUCAGACCAGAACAUCCCAGGUAUUUGUUAAAUAGAAGAAGAAGAAAAAGAUAACUUGUUUGAAGUUGAGGACAGAUGGUGGACUUUAGCCCCUUCAUUUACAGGAUGAGGAUGGGAAAUGAUGAAAAGAAUAAAUAAUUACACCAAUAUUAUGGGUGAAAUAAUAAACAUAAUUCAAAGUGAUAUAAUGUUGCUAAGUGAAGAAUUAAAAAUAACAAUUUUAACAAUCUUAACCUUGUUAAGACAACAGUUAGAAAUAGAGAGUUUAGCAAUUGCUGUGAGUGGACUAUGUGCAGAGCGAAUUGAUUAUAGUUGUUGCACUUGGAUACAUAAUACUAGUGAAGAAGUACCUGAUUAUUCUGAACUAAUCGAGAAACAUCAUGAACAAGUAAAUAAAUUACAAGAAACGGCUGGGGCCAUAAGGACGGAUGGUUGGAAUCCCUUGAAAGGACUCAGUGAGUGGAUCCCUAACUUGGCCGGAUGGGUACAACAAUUAAUAAUGUUGAGAACUUUAAUAUUGAUAACUGGAAUGAUGGUUUGUUGUUGUAUGCAGCUUGGACCAAUGAUGAUGAUUUGUUGUAAAGGUAGCCUGGUUGGAUGAGAGUGAAGAGGUUGGAAGAAUGUAGCAACAAAUUGAGAAAUGUGAGUAUAAAAAUCAAUAUUGUUUGUGAAAAGAAAAAGGAGGGAUUGUGGGGAAAAGGGUCUAUUGUUUUUACAGAAAUUGCAGAAGACAUGCUGGCCUGUGAAGCAAACACAUUGUCUAUAUUUUAAUCUGAUGAGCAAAGUUGAAGCUUGAGAGUUUUAUCUAGGAAGGUCUCUGCUUCACUGAAAACUGGUCUUAACCAUAAUUUACUGAUACGAUAGCAACUUUAGAGACAACACCUAGGAACUAACAGUCAUAAAAGAUAAUUUGUAAACAAGGGCAGGGGGCAAUCAAAUUAGAGGAGUGGGGAUGUAAUCAGGGGUGGAGAUAAUGUAUUCCCUUUAGGAGCUGUGGAGAGGUUGUGAUGACAUAAUUACAGCAUGAUUACUAAGCCAAUGAGGAGAAGUGGGAGGUAAAUUUAUAACAGCAAUGGAGAAUAUAAAGAAUGAAUAUUGAAGAUUUAAGGUGUGUCCACUGUGUGCUUGCAUGCACAAGGAGCACCCCCUUUGCAAAGGACUACAAAUAAAUUACCAUUGUUUCUCUUGGAA